GACCUCAGGAUGCGGAUUACC
RNAcentral lists this microRNA (21 nucleotides) under Brassica rapa (field mustard). Its description in RNAcentral is "bra-miR2111-3p". The record is from miRBase by way of RNAcentral. Lineage: Eukaryota; Viridiplantae; Streptophyta; Magnoliopsida; Brassicales; Brassicaceae.